AAAGCCCAACAAAUCACAAAUGGGCUUUUUAGUAAUGGGCUUGGGCUUUUUAUCCAUUGGAUCUGCUGGAAUAAGGCCUUGUAGUAUCCCAUUUGGUGUAGACCAAUUUGACUCAACAACAGAUGAAGGAAGAAAAGGGAUUGCUAGUUUCUUCAACUGGUAUUACACUUCUUUUACAUUGGUUUUGAUAAUCGCAGUCACACUUGUUGUGUAUAUACAAGAUUCAGUGAGCUGGGUGCUCGGAUUCGGUAUCCCUACGAUACUCAUUUUCUUGUCUAUCGUUUUAUUUUUCAUCGGGACUAAAGUCUACGUUCAUGUCAAGCCUCAAGGAAGUGUAUUCUCGAGCUUCAUUCAAGUUUUUGUAGCGUCUUAUAAGAAACGCAACCUAAAGCUCCCUGAUGAACGUGAGAGUAACGUGACGGUCUUUUAUGAUCCUCUGUUACCUCAAGGGUCUAUUGUGAACAAACUCCCUUUAACCCAUAAGCACAGGUGGUUGAAUAAAGCAGCGAUAGUGAUGAAGGAUGAAGUGAACAGAGACGGCGAUUGUACAAACAAAUGGAGAUUAUGCAGUAUCCAGCAAAUCGAAGAAGUGAAAUGUGUACUCAAAAUAAUCCCAAUUUGGUCUGCAGGGGUUAUCUGUUUCACAGCAAUGGCACAACAGGGCACAUUCACAAUCUCACAAGCUCUAAAAAUGGAUCGUCAUCUCGGCCCUAAUUUCCAGAUCCCACCAGGUUCCCUCUCUGUAAUAUCGAUGAUCACAGUUGGGAUAUGGUUACCAGUCUACGAUAGACUCAUCGUGCCAUCGCUUACAAAAGUAACACGAAUAGAAGGUGGGAUCACAUUGCUACAUAGAAUUGGAAUUGGAAUCGCAUUUUCGAUUCUGUCAAUGGUCGUAGCUGGGAUAACUGAAAAAAUGAGAAGAAAUUCCGCCAUAACUCACAAUAGCCCUGAUGGGAUCGCACCAGUUACAGUAAUGAGGUUAGCUCCACAACUAGUGUUAAUGGGAUUCGCGGAGGCGUUCAACAUACUUGGACAGAUUGAAUUUUACAAUAAGGAAUUCCCCGAAAACAUGAGCAGUGUGGCUAAUUCUCUGUUUUCAUGUACUGUUGCUGGUGCAAGUUACCUAAGCAGUUUGCUAGUGAACGUUUUGCAUAACACUACGGGAGGAAAUGGGCAUCUAGAUUGGUUAACGAAUGAUAUUAAUAAGGGUCGAAUAGACUAUUACUACUAUCUUAUCGCGGGGUUAGGUGUGUUGAACUUGUUCUAUUUUCUAUACGUUGCUAGUCGAUAUGAGUAUAAGACUAGAGUAGUGAUCGAUGAUGAUCGAAUUAAGGGUUAUGGUGAUGAUCAUGAACUUCAUGACAUGAAGUAUUAAGGG
Molecule: unclassified non-coding RNA, 1378 nt
Filed under: Hevea brasiliensis (rubber tree)
Lineage: Eukaryota; Viridiplantae; Streptophyta; Magnoliopsida; Malpighiales; Euphorbiaceae
Source: RNAcentral